Non-coding RNA from Poecilia reticulata (guppy), 851 nucleotides. The record is from RefSeq and is a predicted model, not a curated record. Lineage: Eukaryota; Metazoa; Chordata; Actinopteri; Cyprinodontiformes; Poeciliidae.
GAUUAACCGGUUCUGGACUCGACUGCAACAACUGAACCGACUAACCGGCUGAGUAAUCCAGAGAGAUUAAUCUAAUCUGUAAUCUCCAUGUUAACAACUAACAUGGUUCUGGUUCAGGUCCUGGUUCUGGUCCUGGUCCUGGUCCUGGUCCUGGUCCUGGUCCUGGUUCUGGUCCUGGACUCUAAACUGGAACCUGAAACAUUCCGACAUUUAACAUAAAAACUCGAUGAUGUCAUUAGCAUGUUGUGACGUCACAGGGCUGAUUCUGUGGCGCCGUUUUCAAAACCUGCUGCGCAAAACAGACAGAAUACUUUCGUCUUACAGGUUCGUCUUUGAAGAGACGAAACAGGAAGUGAAGCUGGAAAGGUGAUUGGUCCGAAAGCAGCCGCGCUGCUGCGAUUGGUCAGGGAAGAAGGAAAAACAGGAAACGAGAAGCUGAUUGGUCAGUUUGUGACCAAUCAGAACAACAAACUGGAAUAACUUCACCAACAUCGUUAUUCCCACUCGGAUCGUUGGGCUUUUCUGAAAUAUGCUAAUAAUUUUCCUGUCCAUUCCUGGAUCUGUGCCUUACCAGAGGCAUGAAACAUUCCAGAGGUUCAGUAAAAUGUUCCUGCCAGAUGGACGGAAACGUAGCGAAUGUCCCUGAAACGUCCUCUGUCCUCCGUCCUCCGUCCUCUGUCCAGAUUCUGGUUGCUACAUGGAUAUUAAAGUGUUAGAAUUUUAAUGCUUUUAAUCACUUUAUUAAUUUAUUUUUUUUACAAACAUCGGUUCCACCCAGAACUUUUGUGUUUCUGGUACGCCUGAACAUCUGACGGACAAGCUACAUCCGCUAACAGUGAUGGCCGACGGAC